CCAUGCUGAGAAACGUGGCAACACCGCUCAAGUCCAGAUCGAGAGUCCUAUUUUCCAAUGUGAGAGUUUUGUGCUUCGUAUCAUAAUUAACACUGUUUUUAAUAAAAAACUAUACUAAUGUACACCAUUUGUUAUUAAUUAUGUAAAAGUGGGAUAUAAAUAUUAUGACUAUAUGGUUUGAAGAAAAUAUAAGUGUGAAGGAAGAUAAAACCUUCUUUGGACCAAAUUGAAGUGUUUGCAAAUUGAUAAGAAAUAUUAUAAUCUAAUACAAACGUGAAAUAGACAAAAUUGUUGGUACGAAGCCAAAGAGGAUCAUUUUGUAUUCUAUCUUGUCCAUUCCUGGAGACGACUCCAGGUUUCACUUUUAAGGUGAAUUUCUCCAUUGCAAAUGCACAUAGUUCUCUUUCUACACUUUCCCUUUGAGUGACCAUAGUUCCAACAGUUGGUGCAGUUUUUAAUAGGUUCGAUGAAGCAAUGAACCUUCACACUAUAUAACCCAUACAAUUUAAUAUCUUCUGAUUUUCUCGGUUUACAGAGCGCUGCAUUACCCGUGUCUAUCCCCUUAAGUGAACACGUAGAAGAGAUGGAGGGAAACUACCCAAGGAAAGAAUUGUGCAGUUAAUUACAAGAGUGUGUUGCAGAUUUAACAAAUUGAAACUUCAAGUUAGCAUUAUUAAUUAUGGCUUCCAUUAUGGCAUACAUAUGACUGAAUACGGUCAUUACUUCUUCUAUAGGAACAGAAAGGCCUCCUCUUUGUAAGGAAACAUUAAAAUCAGUAGAAUGGGACCUAUAACCAGAUAUGUAAAUUUUAAUGGGAUCAUCAACAACACAAGUGGAUAAAUAUUGUUUCAAAAAUUCUCAGAAAACAAGUUACAUCAAUGGAAAGAUCACGAAGAUUAUUAUCGUUAUCACAAAUUUCAAAUAUAUUUUUGAUUUAAGUAAAAGAAAAGAAUCUUGCCGAUUUCUUAAAUAUGUUUUAAUCUAAUAUUUUUCUCUGCAUUUUAACUACUUCAUUGUAUGAAACAUGAUAAUUACAACCAAAUAAAAGUCUAUAGUUUCCAAA
Long non-coding RNA from Hylaeus volcanicus, 1063 nucleotides. RefSeq lists it as uncharacterized. The record is from RefSeq and is a predicted model, not a curated record. NCBI's taxonomy places the organism in Eukaryota, Metazoa, Arthropoda, Insecta, Hymenoptera, Colletidae. The transcript is spliced from 6 exons.